UUCCUCAGCUGUGAAUUGUCUGUUUAGCUCUGAACCCCAUUUUUUAAUAGGGUUAUUUGUCUCCCCGCGGUCUAACUUCUUGAGUUCUUUGUAUAUUUUGGAUAUAAGGCCUCUAUCUGUUGUAGGAUUGGUAAAGAUCUUUUCCCAAUCUGUUGGGUGCCGUUUUGUCCUAACCACAGUGUCCUUUGCCUUACAGAAGCUUUGCAGUUUUAUGAGAUCCCAUUUGGCAGGGAAUAGAGAGGCAAAGAUUAAAACAGAGACAGAAGGAACACCCAUUCAGAGCCUGCCCCACAUGUGGCCCACACAUAUACAGCCAUCCAAUUAGACAAGAUAGAUGAAGCAAAGAAGUGCAGGCCGACAGGAGCCGGAUGUAGAUCGCUCCUGAGAGACACAGCCAGAAUACAGCAAAUACAGAGGCCUUCUUGUUUUCAGUGUUCAGAUAGCAACAGAUUAAAUCUAAGUUCCCAAUGCUGGAAACUCUUAGACCACCACAGAACACAGCAACCAAGGACAAAAAUAAAGAGUCAAAAGGAAAAUCUUUCAUCAAUUCAGCCAGCUCAUUGCUAUGAUUCCUCUCUGCAGACAACAUGGAGUAGCCUUACUUCUCAUCUCCUUAUAUUUUGGGGACUGUGGCAUCUGCACCUAACACAGCAUUCGCUUUCAGCAGCUUUCGGAUGGCUGAUUUCAGACACGUCAGGAACUGUUCCUGCAGAAACACUCCCGAUUAGACAGUAGUAGGAAAAGAUAGAACAGCUUCGUGUGG
This 763-nucleotide long non-coding RNA is filed under the name Rattus norvegicus (Norway rat). Its description in RNAcentral is "long non-coding RNA NONRATT032053". The record is from RNAcentral. Lineage: Eukaryota; Metazoa; Chordata; Mammalia; Rodentia; Muridae.